AACGAACGCUGGCGGCAUGCCUAACACAUGCAAGUCGAACGAUGACCUUCGGGUCAUAGUGGCGCACGGGUGAGUAGCGCGUGGGAAUCUGCCCAUUGGUUCGGAAUAACGUUGGGAAACCGACGCUAAUACCGGAUACGCCCUUCGGGGGAAAGAUUUAUUGCCAAUGGAUGAGCCCGCGUCGGAUUAGUUAGUUGGUGGGGUAACGGCCUACCAAGACGUCGAUCCGUAGCUGGUCUGAGAGGACGAUCAGCCACACUGGGACUGAGACACGGCCCAGACUCCUACGGGAGGCAGCAGUGGGGAAUAUUGGACAAUGGGGGCAACCCUGAUCUAGCCAUGCCGCGUGAGUGAUGAAGGCCUUAGGGUUGUAAAGCUCUUUCAGCUGGGAAGAUAAUGACGGUACCAGCAGAAGAAGCCCCGGCUAACUCCGUGCCAGCCGCC
Molecule: ribosomal RNA, 444 nt
Filed under: uncultured bacterium
Lineage: Bacteria
Description: bacterial SSU rRNA
Rfam family: Bacterial small subunit ribosomal RNA
Source: RNAcentral